AGAGUUUGAUCCUGGCUCAGGAUGAACGCUAGCUACAGGCUUAACACAUGCAAGUCGAGGGGCAGCAUGGUCUUAGCUUGCUAAGGCUGAUGGCGACCGGCGCACGGGUGAGUAACACGUAUCCAACCUGCCGUCUACUCUUGGCCAGCCUUCUGAAAGGAAGAUUAAUCCAGGAUGGCAUCAUGAGUUCACAUGUCCGCAUGAUUAAAGGUAUUUUCCGGUAGACGAUGGGGAUGCGUUCCAUUAGAUAGUAGGCGGGGUAACGGCCCACCUAGUCAACGAUGGAUAGGGGUUCUGAGAGGAAGGCCCCCCACAUUGGAACUGAGACACGGUCCAAACUCCUACGGGAGGCAGCAGUGAGGAAUAUUGGUCAAUGGGCGAUGGCCUGAACCAGCCAAGUAGCGUGAAGGAUGACUGCCCUAUGGGUUGUAAACUUCUUUUAUAAAGGAAUAAAGUCGGGUAUGCAUACCCGUUUGCAUGUACUUUAUGAAUAAGGAUCGGCUAACUCCGUGCCAGCAGCCGCGGUAAUACGGAGGAUCCGAGCGUUAUCCGGAUUUAUUGGGUUUAAAGGGAGCGUAGAUGGAUGUUUAAGUCAGUUGUGAAAGUUUGCGGCUCAACCGUAAAAUUGCAGUUGAUACUGGAUGUCUUGAGUGCAGUUGAGGCAGGCGGAAUUCGUGGUGUAGCGGUGAAAUGCUUAGAUAUCACGAAGAACUCCGAUUGCGAAGGCAGCCUGCUAAGCUGCAACUGACAUUGAGGCUCGAAAGUGUGGGUAUCAAACAGGAUUAGAUACCCUGGUAGUCCACACGGUAAACGAU
RNAcentral lists this ribosomal RNA (815 nucleotides) under uncultured bacterium. RNAcentral describes it as "bacterial SSU rRNA". It matches the Rfam family "Bacterial small subunit ribosomal RNA", at positions 8 to 810 of the family's 1533-position model. The record is from RNAcentral.